UGGGGAAUAUUGGGCAAUGGGCGCAAGCCUGACCCAGCAACGCCGCGUGAAGGAAGAAGGCUUUCGGGUUGUAAACUUCUUUUCUGAGGGACGAUAAUGACGGUACCUCAGGAAUAAGCCACGGCUAACUACGUGCCAGCAGCCGCGGUAAUACGUAGGUGGCAAGCGUUAUCCGGAUUUACUGGGUGUAAAGGGCGUGUAGGCGGGAUGGUAAGUCAGAUGUGAAAAUCUAUGGGGCUCAACCCAUACCCUGCAUUUGAAACUAUCGUUCUUGAGUGUUGGAGAGGCAGGCGGAAUUCCGUGUGUAGCGGUGAAAUGCGUAGAUAUACGGAGGAACACCAGUGGCGAAGGCGGCCUGCUGGACAAUAACUGACGCUGAGGCGCGAAAGCGUGGGGAGCAAACAGGAUUAGAUACCC
Molecule: ribosomal RNA, 417 nt
Filed under: uncultured bacterium
Lineage: Bacteria
Description: bacterial SSU rRNA
Rfam family: Bacterial small subunit ribosomal RNA
Source: RNAcentral